CAAUAGCGUAUAUUAAAGUUGUUGCGGUUAAAAAGCUCGUAGUUGGAUUUCUGCCGAGGACGACCGGUCCGCCCUCCGGGUGAGUAUCUGGUUUGGCCUGGGCAUCUUCUUGGAGAACGUAGCUGCACUUGACUGUGUGGUGCGGUGUCCAGGACUUUUACUUUGAGGAAAUUAGAGUGUUUCAAGCAGGCACACGCCUUGAAUACAUUAGCAUGGAAUAAUAAGAUAGGACCUCGGUUCUAUUUUGUUGGUUUCUAGAGCUGAGGUAAUGAUUAAUAGGGAUAGUUGGGGGCAUUCGUAUUUAACUGUCAGAGGUGAAAUUCUUGGAUUUGUUAAAGACGGGCAACUGCGAAAGCGUUUGCCCAGGAUGUUUUCAUUGA
This 380-nucleotide ribosomal RNA is filed under the name uncultured eukaryote. RNAcentral's name for it is "partial 18S ribosomal RNA". It matches the Rfam family "Eukaryotic small subunit ribosomal RNA", at positions 592 to 976 of the family's 1831-position model. The record is from RNAcentral.